CGACCGGCGCACGGGUGAGUAACGCGUAUGUAAUCUACCUGUAACAGAGGGAUAACCCGGAGAAAUCCGGACUAAUACCUCAUAGCACAUAUUAUUCGCAUGAAUUUUAUGUUAAAGAGACUCGGUUACAGAUGAACAUGCGUUCCAUUAGCUAGUUGGCGGGGUUACGGCCCACCAAGGCAACGAUGGAUAGGGGUUCUGAGAGGAAGGUCCCCCACACUGGUACUGAGACACGGUCCAA
This 241-nucleotide ribosomal RNA is filed under the name uncultured bacterium. RNAcentral describes it as "partial 16S ribosomal RNA". It matches the Rfam family "Bacterial small subunit ribosomal RNA", at positions 92 to 334 of the family's 1533-position model. The record is from RNAcentral.